CAUGCAAGUCGAACGGAAAGAAUGGUUUCGCAAGAAAUUGUUCAAUUAGUGGCGGACGGGUGAGUACAAGCAGGGAACGUACCCUAAACUAUCGCAUAGCUCGUCGAAAGACGGGGUAAUUCGGUAUGUGAUCGCAAGAUUAAAGUCGCAAGACGGUUUAGGAGCGGCCCUGUGCUUAUCAGCUUGUUGGUGGGGUAAAAGCCUACCAAGGCUAUGACGAGUAGGGGGUGUGAGAGCACGACCCCCCACAAUGGCACUGAGACACGGGCCAUACGUCUACGGAUGGCAGCAACUGGGAAUAUUCGGCAAUGGGCGAAAGCCUGACCGAGCGACACCGCGUGAAGGAUGAAGUAUUUCGGUAUGUAAACUUCUUUUGCCAAAGGGUCGACCUUCGGCGAAUAAGCACCUACAAACUACGUGCCAGCAGUCGCGGUAAUACGUAGGGUGCAAGCGUUAUCCGGAUUCACUGGGCGUAAAGAGUCGUGUAGGUGGUUCAUCGCAUCGUACUUGAAAGCCCGGGGCUCAACCCCGGCGUUGGGUACGAGAUGGGUAGACUUGAGGGUGGUAGAGGAAAGAGGAACUCAUGGUGGAGCAGUGAAAUGCGUUGAGAUCAUGAGGAACACCAAAGGCGUAAGCAUCUUUCUGGACCACUCCUGACACUGAGACACGAAAGCUAGGGGAGCGAAGCAGAUUAGAUACCUGCGUAGUCCUAGCCCUAAACGCAUGCCUGCUAGAUGUUCCGCCCGCAAAGUGCAAAAACUUUUUUGCUUUUUGUGGGUGGAGUGUCGUUAAGCUAACGCGUUAAGCAGGCCGCCUGGGGAGUACGAUCGCAAGAUUAAAACUCAAAGGAAUUGACGGGGACCCGCACAACCGGUGGAGCGUGUGGUUCAAUUCGAGACAAAGCGAAGCACCUAACCAAGUUUUGACAUGCUACCGUUUUAACCACCUGGAAACAGGAGGCUAUCCGCAAGGAUGGUAGCACAGCUGCUGCAUGGCUGUCGUCAGCUCGUGCCGUGAGGUGUUCCCUUAAGUGGGCCAACGAGCGCAACCCGUGUCCAAUGUUACAAGUGUCAUUGGAGACUGCCCCCUUUGAAGGGGGGAGGAAGGAACGGACGACGUCAAGUCAGCACGGCGCUUAUAACUUGGGUCACACACACCCUACAAUGGCGAAAAACAAUGAGACGCAAGGCGGUAACGCUACGCAAAUCUCCUAUAAAUUUCGCCUCAGUUCAGAUUGAGGUCUGCAACCCGACCUCAUGAAGUCGGAAUCGGUAGUAAUCGCAGAUCAGCAGGCUGCGGUGAAUACGUUCUCGGGUCUUGUACACACCGCCCGUCAAGCCACCAAAGUUGGAGGCGGCCGAAGAGCCCCGCAAGGGGAGCUAAGCCGAAUUCAGCGAUGGGGACUAAGUCGUAACAAGGUAACC
RNAcentral lists this ribosomal RNA (1424 nucleotides) under uncultured bacterium. Its description in RNAcentral is "16S ribosomal RNA". It matches the Rfam family "Bacterial small subunit ribosomal RNA". The record is from RNAcentral.